GGGGAGCCUGCUUGGAGUUGGAUGGUGAAGGAGACUGGCCUUUACCGCAUCGAUGUGGUUUUCCUGGGACCAUUCUCCUGAGGAGUGGGGGCGGGACCCUGCUUAGAGAAGGGGAUGGUGGGUGAGCCUCCUGCUCUGUAAUCUGACAUCCUUUUCCCCACCUCUUCCAGCGAAGGCCCCGGGGAGCCGCCUCUUCAUCCACUCACAGGUCACUCCCUUCUUAGCUGGAACCUGGACCCUGGCUCAACUUGAAUUCCUUGGCCUCCCACUGGUUUCUCUCUGGAGCUGCAUUUUUCAACCUGUUGUUUGUGACUCUGUUCCAUGUGUCUUCAUUCUGGGGCUCGGGCUGAAAAAGCAGCUUCAAUCUGGUGGCAGAGGGGAAGAGCAAGAAAGAUGGUGGAAACGUGAGGUCCAAAGGCCUUAGCUUGGGCAUGGUCUAUGUCCCUCCUGUUCCUAUUCCAUUUGCUGAAAGGAGUCUUAUCGCCAAGUCCAACAGUAGGAUGGGAAGUACAAUUCUCCCACAAGGAUGGGUACCAGGGAGAGGCCCUGUAGGGAUGGGUUGGGAGAGAAGGGAGUGGAUUUUUUAACACGUCAUACCACACCC
This 604-nucleotide long non-coding RNA is filed under the name Homo sapiens (human). Its description in RNAcentral is "HSALNT0389542". The record is from RNAcentral. Lineage: Eukaryota; Metazoa; Chordata; Mammalia; Primates; Hominidae.